RNAcentral lists this small nucleolar RNA (262 nucleotides) under Strigops habroptila (Kakapo). RNAcentral's name for it is "Small Cajal body specific RNA 6 (ENSSHBG00005015469.1)". It matches the Rfam family "Small Cajal body specific RNA 6". Rfam says of the family: U88 is small Cajal body specific RNA (scaRNA). scaRNAs are a novel class of small nuclear RNAs which localise to the Cajal bodies. U88 is found associated with both fibrillarin and Gar1p and co-localises with coilin in Cajal bodies. U88 scaRNA is composed of both an H/ACA box and a C/D box conserved domains domains and is predicted to guide 2'-O-methylation of residue U41 of the U5 snRNA. Lineage: Eukaryota; Metazoa; Chordata; Aves; Psittaciformes; Psittacidae. The record is from Rfam by way of RNAcentral.
GGUCUCUGAUGAAUAGUAAAAGGUCUGAUUAUUCUAAAGACUUGAACUUCCAUGACCUUUUCUCCCAGCAGUUUCUCACCAGCCGCAGCACAGUAAUGGUGUGGCUGGCAGUGUUUGCUGGCACCUCGUGAUGUGUGCGGUUCACGUUAACCUGAACUACCAGAGCCAUGACUGGGAUCAGCAUCCAGCAGUCAUACUGGAAGGAGUUUGAGGUCUUGGAUUGUUCUAACUGGACAUGUGAUCUGUCUUUUCUGCUGAGACC